CACCUUUCAUUGGGCCGUGUACUGCCUCCCCUGACUGGACCGUCGCCUGAUCACCGCACUUUCAAAUGUAGUUGCGGAGACACGAACGAGGCGUCAUUAUUGAAGAGUUCGAUGAAAUGGUACCUACGAGGGUACGAUCCCUCUCUUUAUGCGAAACGAAAACCUGAUCUCUAUAUUGGGAGGGAGAUUAUGAUCUCUAUAUUGGGAGGAGAGAUUCUCGUUCUCUCAUUUAGUUUGCAAUUUGCGAUUGAUAUUUAAGAGUUGAUUCAAUCGGAGAUUUGUCUGUGAUCAAUCCCGUCAAUUUUUGUUUUUGGGCGUAGAUCCUUGGUUUUUCUUUUCUCUGGAAAUUAUUCGAUCGGAAAUUGUGUUCUUGAACAGAGAUCGAUAAUUUUGGGGGAGGGGCGCAGAGGGAGAAACCCUAAUUCCACAUCUCUCUGGAACCGGAAAUUUGAUGCGUAUUGUAUCGAUUGAGUAAAAGAAAUCUGUUUUUUUGUUUUGUUUUGGUUUUGUGUUCCUUUUUCGGGGAGUCGAAUAACCGCUGCAUGAACAAAUUAAGGGGAGAGGAAGCGAAUAGAUCGCUUAGAGAGUAGAAGCGAGCAGAGCAGAGGAAGGCGAAACAUGUCUGCCAUAGUGUGUGGGAAGAGAUCCUUAUUCGAAGACCUGCCGGCACCUCCCGUCACCAAGAGAAUUCGCUGUUCUUCUUCCCCCGUACGGUUCUCUCCUCCCAGGCCCUUCCCAGCCUCUUCUUCUUCUCAGUCUCCUCUUCCUUACUCGUCCCCGCCUUCUUCCGCUCUCCUGCUCGAGCAUCUGAGAUUUAUUUUCCCUGACAUGGACAAACAGGUUCUUGAGAGAGCACUUGAAGAAUGUGGUGAUGAUUUAGAUUCAGCCAUCAAAUGUCUGAAUGAGCUUCAGCUAGGAUCUGCUGAUAAAAGCAUGGACUCUGUUGCAGGAAAAUCUGGUGUAGCACUGGAAGAAAAUUUACAAGUUCAAUCACAUGUGGGUACCGUAACAAAUAAUGAAGAGGAUGUCUCUGCUGAGGAUCCGUCGGCUCCAAAGAAUCUCCCUGUUGAUGGUGCAGAUUGGGUGGAGCUCUUUGUCAGAGAAAUGAUGAGUGCCUCAAACAUGGAUGAUGCUAGAGCCCGUGCCUCAAGAGCGCUUGAGGUUUUGGAGAAGUCCAUAUAUUCACGUGCAGGUGCAGAUGCGGCUCAUUGCUUUAACCAGGAAAAUAUGAUGCUGAAGGAACAAAUGAAAGCUCUGAUUCAGGAAAACACAAUCCUCAAGCGAGCUGUUUCUAUUCAACAUGAACGGCAAAAAGAGUAUGAUGAGAAGAGCCAGGAGUUGCAGCAUUUGAAGCAGCUGGUGUCUCAGUGCCAGGAUCAGUUGAGAACUCUAGAGGUGAAUAAUUAUGCACUGACAAUGCAUCUCAAGCAGGCUCACCAAAGCAGCUCCAUACCAGGGCGUUUCCAUCCCGAUGUCUUUUAAGGAGCCUUAGAUGGGAUCUUAAAUUUUGGCACCUCCGGAAGAUGGGUCAUAAGCAAUUGCAAUUCAAACCUCGUUUCUUAUCAAAACACCAACAGGUUUAACUCCAACCACAACCACCAGCCACCACCGUCCACCAUCACCCACAACCGGCUGCCACCGCCUCCCUCCAUCUUCUCCAAUAAUUUCAAUUUGCCCUCGGUGUACCCUCAAAUGCGUAAGGUUGAGCACUAAUGUUCGGUACUAGGCCUUCUCUAGAUGUCCUUUAAUCUCUUUCUCUUGUUGGCCCAUAUUUGCCAUUUCUACAAGACAUUCUAGUAUCUUGAAUGUGGGCCCAUUUGUCCAUUUAAUUUUAAUCUAAGAAAAUGAAAAAUAAUCGAAGAAUAUAGAAAUAAAAAUGCAGUAAAUAGAAAUAUUUAUUAUUAAGAUUCAAAA
Molecule: RNA transcript, 1914 nt
Organism: Malania oleifera
Lineage: Eukaryota; Viridiplantae; Streptophyta; Magnoliopsida; Santalales; Ximeniaceae
Exons: 6
Source: RefSeq, a predicted model, not a curated record